UUUUUGAGUUUUUAUCAAUUUAUAUAAUUAAUAUAAAAUUUAACUGAUUUUCAUAACUAUUUGUAAUAAAUCUUGUAUAAAGAUCGUUUGUGUUGUUUGUAGUCAUGCACAAUCUUGGAUAAUAUGCACAUAUAGUGUCACCGUCCAAACCAUCAUAUUCAUACUAAGGAAUAAAAAAACUCUUAUCAUAUCCACGAAAAUCCAUAGGUGAAAAAAAUCGUACAAAAAAAAACUUAAAAAAUACGGUAGUUAGAAAAGAACCCAAAACUAAUACCAACUUCAUUAAACUAUUCUUCUUUUAAGUCAGUUUUGUCUUAAUUAUUAAUAUCAUCUCUUGAGUUUUCAUCAAUUUAUAUAAUUAAUGCAAAGUUUAACUCAUGAUUAUUUGUAAUAAAUCUUUAAUAAAGAUCGUUUGUGUUGCUUGUACUCAUGCACAAUCUUGGAUAAUAUGCACAUAUAAUGUCACCGUCCAAACCAUUAUAUUCAUACUAAGGAAUAAAAAAACUCUUAUCAUAUCCACGAAAAUCCAUAGGUGAAAAAAAUCCUAUAAAAAAAAACUUCAAAAAUACGGUAGUUAGAAAAAAAAAAAAUUAAUACCAACUUCAUUAAACUAUUCUUCUCUUAAGCCAGUUUUGUCUUAAUUAUUUAUAUCAUCUCUUGAGUUUUCAUCAAUUUAUAUAAUUAAUGCAAAGUUUAACUCAUGACUAUUUGUAAUAAAUCUUGUAUAAAGAUCGCUUAUGUUGCUUGUAGUCAUGCACAAUCUUGGAUAAUAUGCACAUAUAAUGUCACCGUCCAAACCAUCAUAUUCAUACUAAAGAAUAAAAAAACUCUUAUCAUAUCCACGAAAAUCCAUAGGUGAAAAAAAUCCUACCAAAAAAAAUUUCAAAAAUACGGUAGUUAGAAAAGAACCCAAAACUAAUACCAACUUCAUUAAACUAUUCUUCUUUUAAGCCAAUUUUGUCUUAAUUAUUUAUAUCAUCUUUUGAGUUUUCAUCAAUUUAUAUAAUUAAUGCAAAGUUUAAUUUGAUUUUCAUGACUAUUUGUAAUAAAUCUUGUAUAAAUAUCGUUUGUGUUGCUUUAAUAUGCACAUAUAAUGUCACCGUCCAAACCAUCAUAUUCAUACUAAGGAAUAAAAGAACUCUUAUCAUAUCCACGAAAAUCCAUAGGUGAAAAAAAUCCUAUCAAAAAAAACUUCAAAAAUACGGUAGUUAGAAAAAAAACCAAAACUAAUACCAACUUCAUUCAACUAUUCUUCUCUUAAGCCAGUUUUGUCUUAAUUAUUUAUAUCAUCUCUUGAGUUUUCAUCAAUUUAUAUAAUUAAUGCAAAGUUUAACUCAUGACUAUUUGUAAUAAAUCUUGUAUAAAGAUCGCUUGUUUUGCUUGUAGUCAUGCACAAUCUUGGAUAAUAUGCAUAUAUAAUGUCACCGUCCAAACCAUCAUAUUCAUACUAAGAAAUAAAAAAACUCUUAUCAUAUCCACGAAAAUCCAUAGGUGAAAAAAAUCCUAUAAAAUUUUUUUUCAAAAAUACGGUAGUUAGAAAAGAACCCAAAACUAAUACCAACUUCAUUCAACUCUUCUUUUCUUAAGCCAGUUUUGUCUUAAUUAUUUAUAUCAUCUCUUGAGUUUUCAUCAAUUUAUAUAAUUAAUGCAAAGUUUAACUGAUUUUCAUGACUAUUUGUAAGAAAUCUUGUAUAAAGAUCGCUUGUGUUGCUUGUAGUCAUGCACAAUCUUGGAUAAUAUGCACAUAUAAUGUCACCAUCCAAACCAUCAUAUUCAUACUAAAAAACUCUCUUAUCAUAUCCACGAAAAUCAAUAGGUGAAAAAAAUCCUACAAAAAAAAACUUCAAAAAUACGGUAGUUAGAAAAGAACCCAAAACUAAUACCAACUUCAUUAAACUAUUAUUCUUUUAAGCCAGUUUUGUCUUAAUUAUUUAUAUCAUUUCUUGAGUUUUCAUA
This 1956-nucleotide small RNA is filed under the name Arabidopsis thaliana (thale cress). RNAcentral describes it as "ATSL019940". The record is from RNAcentral. Lineage: Eukaryota; Viridiplantae; Streptophyta; Magnoliopsida; Brassicales; Brassicaceae.